Molecule: long non-coding RNA, 3485 nt
Filed under: Marmota monax (woodchuck)
Lineage: Eukaryota; Metazoa; Chordata; Mammalia; Rodentia; Sciuridae
Source: RNAcentral
AUUGUAUUUCCAUAUUUUUAAAUUUUAGUUAUGGGGAUAAAUACCCAUCUUGUGAGCCCUUGAAGCUUGAACCUUUUUUAGUUUCAGAGUUUGUAAAACUGAAAAUACUGCUAAUAAAAGCAACCAGGUAAUUUUCAAAACAUGGUCAUGCCAUGAUCUUAUUUGACCUUGAUAACUUAUCAGAUCAUUUUAUUAUCUGUAUUUUAAAGAGGGAAAUAGAAAAAAAAAAGCUCUUGGAUUGUGGAGCCAGUGUUUCUAAAGCCCAUCUUGAACUUUAGCAGGAACCCAGAAGAGGCCAAAGAUCAGGGGGUCAUUUUAGCUGUGCAGUUUUCUACUAGGGUACUUGUUGCCCUAGUAGUUGGUCUGUAUGGUAGCAUUCCGCUCCAAAGCUGAUUUGUGGCUGUUGGAGUUCAGCAUUAAUUAAAUUGAACAAAAGUUGAGCACCUACUAAGAGCUGCUCUGUGUUUGAGGGAUUUGGAGUUAAGCAAAGCAAGCAGUCCCUUCUCAUGGAGCUCAUUCCAGUGAAGGAGAACUAAUAGAUAAACUAACCUAUAUCAGAGGAAUGAGUGUGAAGGAAAUGGGAUAUUUGUGAGAUAGAGAAUGGUAAAAUUUUACAUAGAACGGCUUCAUUGAGAAGGAUUCAUUUGAGUAAGGAUGUGAAUGAUAAUAUUUGGGAAAGAUUGUUCCAAGCAGAGGUAAAGUCCCAAAUGUGGGAGCAUGUCUGAAAUGUUCAUGAAAUUGCAUGUAGGCCAGCUUGACUGGAACUGCUUUAAAAAAUGGGAAGUUUGAGAAUGUGGGACUUGAGAUGUGUAGGACCUCUUUGGCUAUUGGAUAUACUUUGGCUUUUCUCUGAGUGCAAUAAUGUGUUUGUCAAUUCAGGCUUCCCUGACAAAAGACUAGAGAUUGGGUGGCUUAAACAAAAGAAAUUUGUUUUCUCACAAUUCUUGAGGUUGGAAGGUCCAACAUUAGGAUGCCACUAUGAUUGGCUUCAGGCUAGUUUCCUGGUUUGUAGACAGUCCUCUCAGGGUAUCUUUACCUAAUGGAGAGAAAGCUCUGGUACCUCUUCCCUUUCACAUAAGGACAUUAGUUCCAGUGGAUCAGGGCUCCACCCUUAUAACCUCAUUCAACUUUAAAAUAACCUUAAAAUGGUUGCCUCCACCUGUCUUGUCUGUGGGUGUAGGGCUCCAAUAUGUUUGGAGUCCAGAACACAUGGCAAGUACAAGAUUUUCAGUAAAAGAAUGAAGUGAACUGACAAAAUUUUGUAUUGGAUGAUGACAUUUUAGGAAGAUAUUGCCACACAAACAUAAUAGAGUUUCAAAAAAAAAUUCCUGUCCUAAUUUUUUAAUGUAUUUUUUCUAUGUUUAGAUAUGUUUAUGUACACAGACACUACUGUAUUAACGAUUGUCUAGAAUACUUAGUACACUGAUAUGCUGUACAGGUUUUUAGCCUAGGAGCAAAAGGCUAUUUCACAUAGUCUAGGUAUGUAGCAAAUAUACCAUCUAGGUUUUGGAAAUUAUACUUUGAUGACUGACAUAACAAAAUAACCUAACAAUGUAUUUUGCCUAAUGUAUCUCUAUAGGUAAGUGACACAUGAUUGUAUUUAAAGGAUCUGUCUAACUGCCAUGUUGAAAGUAGGCAAGAAAGUAAGUGGUGAAGGCAAGAAAAGAAGCAAGAUUUGCUAAGAGGUAUUGCAACAAUCCAGAAAGUGAUGCUUAUACUACAGAAUGUCCAGUGGGAAGGGAAGUGAAUGUUUGAAUUCUGGGGAGACUAGAAUUUGCUGACGGAUGUGGAGUGUGAAAGAAUUCAAGGGAAGAAUAGUAUUGCUCUUUUCUGAGAUGGAAUAGAAGGUAAGAGGAACAUAUUUGGGAAGAAGGACAGGAACUCGGUUGGCAUUGUCUUUUGGUGGAAGCACACAAAUGUAUAAUAAUAGUAAAUAUUCAUUCAAAUAAAUAUAUAAUUGCAAACUGAAAAAUUCUAGGAGAGAGGAACAUGGUACAAAGAGAAUGCAAAAUGGUCCAGACUUAGGAAUGAAGUGACUUUUUGGCAGAGGUCUGAAGGACACUUGGCACCAAACUGUAACUUGCAGGAGGUUUCAAACAAGGGAAAUAGUGUGGACAAAAGUCCUCAUGGAGUGAAUAUGGUGUAUAAGGAUCUUGAAGUCACUUUGGUCAAAGCAUAGGAAUUACAGGGCAAAUGUAGUAAGAGAUAAAUCUGUCUUUAUUCUAAAAGCCCCAUAAAACUAUUAAUGGGUUUCCAAGGAGAUAGAGGGGCACAUGUUCAGAUUUACUUUUACUGAAACUCUCUAUAAAUUGUGGACUGAAGAGUGGAGGAGGAAGACUAAGCAAGAUAUGGCAGGACACAAUUUUUGUUAAUCUAGUCAUAAAGUGAUAAUUAUAGCAGCUAACAUUUCUAGAAAAUUUAUGUCCUGAAUACUGGGCAAAAGCAUUGAUUCAUAAUAAUUUAUAAUAAUUUUCAUAAAUUAUGAAGAAAAUCAGAGGAUCCCAUUUGAAAGAUGGAAAUCUUGGCUAAGUAAAAAAGUAAUUCCAACAUUUCUGGUUUAAGACCCACAAAGGACAGACAAAAGUAACUGCCUUAAAAGAUAAGAAAACUAGCUGGGUGUGGUGGGGCAUGCCUGUAAUCCCAGCAGCUCCAGAGACAGAGACAGGAGGAUUGCAAGUUUGAGACCAGCCUCAGCAAUUUAGCAAGAACCUGUCUAAAAAAUAAAAAGGCCUGGAAAUGUAACUCAAUGGUAAAGUGCCCCUGGGUUCAAUUUCUGGUACCAAAAAAAAAAAAAAAAAGAUAAGAAAACCAUAUAAAGGCACAUGGAAAUAGAAUCAGCAGUGUUAUAUUGGGCCAAGAAGCAUAAAAAGAUCAGCAUUUGACCGUAUAUGUAUUGAUGAACUUAGUACCAUGUAUUUAAUAUACUUAGAUUUUAGUACUAGACAGGACUUAGGUAGUUGUUAUUCUAAAGCUCUUAUUUCACAUGAUAGAAUAUCCUAAAGAUGUAAAUUAACUUAGAUCUACAGAUUCUCAUAUCUGCAGCAUUAAAACAUGUAAGGUUCAAAACCACAUAGAACUUUUAAAAUCAGGAGGGUUUGUUGUUCUUUUUAGUUAUAUAUGACAGUAGAAUGUAUUUUGACAUGUCAUACAUACAUGAGGUAUAAUUUUCCAUUUUUGAGGUAAUAUAGAUGUAGAAUUACACUGGUCAUGUAUUCAUAUAUGAACAUAGGAAAAUUAUGUCCAAAUUCAUUCUACUGUCUUUCCCAUUCCCUCUUUUCCCCAACUCAGCCCUGUCCAAUCUGAUGUGCAGGGUUUUUGUUUUGUUUUUGUUUAAGCGGUAUGUUUUAUUUAAGACACUAGUGCUGCCAUUCUGCCUGGUUAUGGUUUUGUAUUUAUUUAUUUAGAUACUGGGGAUUGGAUGAAGGGGUGCUUUACCACUGAUCCACAUCCCCAGGCCUUUGUAUUUUCCAUUUUAAGACAAGGUC